Small nucleolar RNA from Sciurus vulgaris (Eurasian red squirrel), 204 nucleotides. Its record names the gene SNORA73. It matches the Rfam family "Small nucleolar RNA SNORA73 family". Rfam says of the family: U17 (SNORA73A and SNORA73B) also known as E1 belongs to the H/ACA class of small nucleolar RNAs (snoRNAs). Vertebrate U17 is intron-encoded and ranges in length from 200-230 nucleotides, longer than most snoRNAs. Lineage: Eukaryota; Metazoa; Chordata; Mammalia; Rodentia; Sciuridae. The record is from Ensembl.
CAUGUGUGGAUAAUCCCAGGAAGUCAUUCUCCUUGGGCUCUGUCCAGGUGGCCUAGGGGAGCAUAGGCUUUGCCCUGUGACAUACAGUCCCUUUCCACAACACUAGAGAAGAAUCUGAGCCUUGAGUCUGGACCUACAUAUUCAUACAACUUGUCAGUCUCUUGUGAACAAUGACUAAGGAGACAAACUGCACAGGAAAAGACA